ACGCUCGACACCUACGGGAGGCAGCAGUGGGGAAUAUUGGGCAAUGGGCGAAAGCCUGACCCAGCAACGCCGCGUGAGGGAAGAAGGUUUUCGGAUUGUAAACCUCUGUCCUCAGGGACGAAGGACGUGACGGUACCUGAGGAGGAAGCCCCGGCUAACUACGUGUCAGCAGCCGCGGUAAUCUGAGCGGCUGGCAAGGC
Molecule: ribosomal RNA, 200 nt
Filed under: uncultured bacterium
Lineage: Bacteria
Description: partial 16S ribosomal RNA
Rfam family: Bacterial small subunit ribosomal RNA
Source: RNAcentral